GCCUUCGUGGUGUAGUGGUCAGCACGCUCAACGCGUAACCGAGAGGUCCCGUGGUUCGAUUCCCGGCGAAGGUG
Stegodyphus mimosarum is the source of this 74-nucleotide non-coding RNA. Lineage: Eukaryota; Metazoa; Arthropoda; Arachnida; Araneae; Eresidae. The record is from Rfam.